This 419-nucleotide ribosomal RNA is filed under the name uncultured bacterium. Its description in RNAcentral is "partial 16S ribosomal RNA". It matches the Rfam family "Bacterial small subunit ribosomal RNA", at positions 355 to 766 of the family's 1533-position model. The record is from RNAcentral.
UAGGGAAUCUUCCACAAUGGACGCAAGUCUGAUGGAGCAACGCCGCGUGAGUGAAGAAGGCUUUCGGGUCGUAAAACUCUGUUAUUGAAGAAGAACGUGUGUGACAGUAACUGGUCAUGCAGUGACGGUAUUCAAUCAGAAAGUCACGGCUAACUACGUGCCAGCAGCCGCGGUAAUACGUAGGUGGCAAGCGUUGUCCGGAUUUAUUGGGCGUAAAGCGAGUGCAGGCGGUCUUUUAAGUCUGAUGUGAAAGCCUUCGGCUUAACCGAAGAAGGGCAUCGGAAACUGGGAGACUUGAGUGCAGAAGAGGAGAGUGGAACUCCAUGUGUAGCGGUGAAAUGCGUAGAUAUAUGGAAGAACACCAGUGGCGAAGGCGGCUCUCUGGUCUGUAACUGACGCUGAGGCUCGAAAGCGUGGGU